UCCCAGUUCGGAUUGCAGGCUGCAACCCGCCUGCAUGAAGCUGGAAUCGCUAGUAAUCGCGGAUCAGAAUGCCGCGGUGAAUACGUUCCCGGGUCUUGUACACACCGCCCGUCACACCAUGGGAGUCGGUAACGCCCGAAGUCAGUGACCCAACCGAGAGGAGGGAGCUGCCGAAGGCGGGACUGGUAACUGGGGUGAAGUCGUAACAAGGUAUC
RNAcentral lists this ribosomal RNA (215 nucleotides) under uncultured bacterium. RNAcentral describes it as "partial 16S ribosomal RNA". It matches the Rfam family "Bacterial small subunit ribosomal RNA", at positions 1286 to 1500 of the family's 1533-position model. The record is from RNAcentral.